This 695-nucleotide ribosomal RNA is filed under the name uncultured bacterium. Its description in RNAcentral is "bacterial SSU rRNA". It matches the Rfam family "Bacterial small subunit ribosomal RNA", at positions 140 to 851 of the family's 1533-position model. The record is from RNAcentral.
GGGACAACAGUUGGAAACGACUGCUAAUACCGCAUAAGCCCACGGAUUCGCAUGGAUCUGCGGGAAAAGGAUUUAUUCGCUCUAGGAUGGACUCGCGUCCAAUUAGCUAGUUGGUGAGGUAACGGCCCACCAAGGCGACGAUUGGUAGCCGGACUGAGAGGUUGAACGGCCACAUUGGGACUGAGACACGGCCCAGACUCCUACGGGAGGCAGCAGUGGGGGAUAUUGCACAAUGGGGGAAACCCUGAUGCAGCGACGCCGCGUGGAGGAAGAAGGUUUUCGGAUUGUAAACUCCUGUCGUUAGGGACGAUAAUGACGGUACCUAACAAGAAAGCACCAGCUAACUACGUGCCAGCAGCCGCGGUAAAACGUAGGGUGCAAGCGUUGUCCGGAAUUACUGGGUGUAAAGGGAGCGCAGGCGGACCGGCAAGUUGGAAGUGAAAACUAUGGGCUCAACCCAUAAAUUGCUUUCAAAACUGCUGGCCUUGAGUAGUGCAGAGGUAGGUGGAAUUCCCGGUGUAGCGGUGGAAUGCGUAGAUAUCGGGAGGAACACCAGUGGCGAAGGCGACCUACUGGGCACCAACUGACGCUGAGGCUCGAAAGCAUGGGUAGCAAACAGGAUUAGAUACCCUGGUAGUCCAUGCCGUAAACGAUGAAUACUAGGUGUUGGAGGAUUGACCCCUUCAGUGCCGCAG